RNAcentral lists this ribosomal RNA (902 nucleotides) under uncultured bacterium. Its description in RNAcentral is "bacterial SSU rRNA". It matches the Rfam family "Bacterial small subunit ribosomal RNA", at positions 8 to 900 of the family's 1533-position model. The record is from RNAcentral.
AGAGUUUGAUCCUGGCUCAGGAUGAACGCUAGCUACAGGCUUAACACAUGCAAGUCGAGGGGAAACGACAUCGAAAGCUUGCUUUUGAUGGGCGUCGACCGGCGCACGGGUGAGUAACGCGUAUCCAACCUGCCCACCACUUGGGGAUAACCUUGCGAAAGUAAGACUAAUACCCAAUGACGUCUCUAGAGGACAUCUGAAAGAGAUUAAAGAUUUAUCGGUGAUGGAUGGGGAUGCGUCUGAUUAGCUUGUUGGCGGGGUAACGGCCCACCAAGGCUACGAUCAGUAGGGGUUCUGAGAGGAAGGUCCCCCACAUUGGAACUGAGACACGGUCCAAACUCCUACGGGAGGCAGCAGUGAGGAAUAUUGGUCAAUGGACGAGAGUCUGAACCAGCCAAGUAGCGUGCAGGAUGACGGCCCUAUGGGUUGUAAACUGCUUUUAUAAGGGAAUAAAGUGAGUCUCGUGAGACUUUUUGCAUGUACCUUAUGAAUAAGGACCGGCUAAUUCCGUGCCAGCAGCCGCGGUAAUACGGAAGGUCCGGGCGUUAUCCGGAUUUAUUGGGUUUAAAGGGAGCGUAGGCCGGAGAUUAAGCGUGUUGUGAAAUGUAGAUGCUCAACAUCUGCACUGCAGCGCGAACUGGUUUCCUUGAGUACGCACAAAGUGGGCGGAAUUCGUGGUGUAGCGGUGAAAUGCUUAGAUAUCACGAAGAACUCCGAUUGCGAAGGCAGCUCACUGGAGCGCAACUGACGCUGAAGCUCGAAAGUGCGGGUAUCGAACAGGAUUAGAUACCCUGGUAGUCCGCACGGUAAACGAUGGAUGCCCGCUGUUGGUCUGAAUAGGUCAGCGGCCAAGCGAAAGCAUUAAGCAUCCCACCUGGGGAGUACGCCGGCAACGGUGAAAC